UUCGAUGGGAACAUUGUUUUA
RNAcentral lists this non-coding RNA (21 nucleotides) under Caenorhabditis elegans. Lineage: Eukaryota; Metazoa; Nematoda; Chromadorea; Rhabditida; Rhabditidae. The record is from RNAcentral.